This is a long non-coding RNA of Helianthus annuus (common sunflower), 186 nucleotides long. RefSeq lists it as uncharacterized. NCBI's taxonomy places the organism in Eukaryota, Viridiplantae, Streptophyta, Magnoliopsida, Asterales, Asteraceae. The record is from RefSeq and is a predicted model, not a curated record. The transcript has 3 exons.
AGUAUUUGCGUUUGGUGCUCCGGUGACUGGCGACCACACUUUUAAUCAGGCGAGAAUUUGGAUGACAAGAGCUGCAAGAGUUCGAUCUUCAGUUUGGAGAGUUAGCAGUAAACGCCCAGGGGGUGAUGUUGAGAAGUGGAUUGAUGUGAUUCGGAUCGGGUUAGAGGGUAUAACGGUUAAUGAUGC